UACGUAGGGUGCAAGCGUUGUCCGGAAUUAUUGGGCGUAAAGAGCGUGUAGGCGGCCCGAUUAGUCCGCUGUGAAAGUCCAGGGCUCAACCCUGGAAUGCCGGUGGAUACUGUCGGGCUAGAGUCCGGAAGGGGCGAGUGGAAUUCCUGGUGUAGCGGUGAAAUGCGCAGAUAUCAGGAGGAACACCAAUGGCGAAGGCAGCUCGCUGGGACGUGACUGACGCUGAGACGCGAAAGCGUGGGGAGCAAACGGG
This 253-nucleotide ribosomal RNA is filed under the name uncultured bacterium. Its description in RNAcentral is "partial 16S ribosomal RNA". It matches the Rfam family "Bacterial small subunit ribosomal RNA", at positions 524 to 776 of the family's 1533-position model. The record is from RNAcentral.